UACGUAGGGGGCAAGCGUUAUCCGGAAUCACUGGGCGUAAAGGGUGCGUAGGCGGUCUUGCAAGCCAGAGGUGAAAGGCUAUGGCUCAACCAUAGUGAGCCUUUGGAACUGCCGGACUUGAGUACAGGAGAGGAAAGUGGAAUUCCUAGUGUAGCGGUGAAAUGCGUAGAUAUUAGGAGGAACACCAGUGGCGAAGGCGACUUUCUGGACUGUUACUGACGCUGAGGCACGAAAGCGUGGGGAGCGAACAGG
Molecule: ribosomal RNA, 252 nt
Filed under: uncultured bacterium
Lineage: Bacteria
Description: partial 16S ribosomal RNA
Rfam family: Bacterial small subunit ribosomal RNA
Source: RNAcentral